This 25-nucleotide non-coding RNA is filed under the name Mus musculus (house mouse). The record is from RNAcentral. Lineage: Eukaryota; Metazoa; Chordata; Mammalia; Rodentia; Muridae.
UAUGAUGUAUGAGGCCCUAGUUUCC